UACGGAGGGGGCAAGCGUUAUCCGGAUUUACUGGGUGUAAAGGGAGCGUAGACGGUGCAGCAAGUCUGAUGUGAAAGGUCGGGGCCCAACCCCGGGACUGCUUUGGAAACUGCCAUGCUAGAGUGCUGGAGAGGUAAGUGGAAUUCCUAGUGUAGCGGUGAAAUGCAUAGAUAUCACGCAGAACCCCGAUUGCGAAGGCAGCAUACCGGUGCACAACUGACGCUCAGGCACGAAAGCGUGGGUAUCGAACAGG
This 253-nucleotide ribosomal RNA is filed under the name uncultured bacterium. RNAcentral's name for it is "partial 16S ribosomal RNA". It matches the Rfam family "Bacterial small subunit ribosomal RNA", at positions 524 to 776 of the family's 1533-position model. The record is from RNAcentral.